This 468-nucleotide ribosomal RNA is filed under the name uncultured bacterium. RNAcentral describes it as "partial 16S ribosomal RNA". It matches the Rfam family "Bacterial small subunit ribosomal RNA", at positions 28 to 507 of the family's 1533-position model. The record is from RNAcentral.
GACGAACGCUGGCGGCGUGCUUAACACAUGCAAGUCGAACGGAAAGGCCCUGCCUUUGUGGGGUGCUCGAGUGGCGAACGGGUGAGUAACACGUGAGUAACCUGCCCUUGACUUUGGGAUAACUUCAGGAAACUGGGGCUAAUACCGGAUAGGAGCUCCUGCUGCAUGGUGGGGGUUGGAAAGUUUCGGCGGUUGGGGAUGGACUCGCGGCUUAUCAGCUUGUUGGUGGGGUAGUGGCUUACCAAGGCUUUGACGGGUUGCCGGCCUGAGAGGGUGACCGGCCACAUUGGGACUGAGAUACGGCCCAGACUCCUACGGGAGGCAGCAGUGGGGAAUAUUGCACAAUGGGCGGAAGCCUGAUGCAGCAACGCCGCGUGCGGGAUGACGGCCUUCGGGUUGUAAACCGCUUUCGCCUGUGACGAAGCGUGAGUGACGGUAAUGGGUAAAGAAGCACCGGCUAACUACGUG